This is a microRNA precursor of Eptatretus burgeri (inshore hagfish), 70 nucleotides long. The record is from Ensembl. NCBI's taxonomy places the organism in Eukaryota, Metazoa, Chordata, Myxini, Myxiniformes, Myxinidae.
CCUUCCAGUGGUUUUUCCCUAUGGUAGGUUGGAUUUGCUUGUCUACCACAGGGUAGAACCACGGACGGGA